GAUGAACGCUGGCGGCGUGCCUAAUACAUGCAAGUCGAGCGAACGGACGAGAAGCUUGCUUCUCUGAUGUUAGCGGCGGACGGGUGAGUAACGCGUGGAUAACCUACCUAUAAGACUGGGAUAACUUCGGGAAACCGGAGCUAAUACCGGAUGAUAUUUUGAACCGCAUGGUUCAAAAGUGAAAGACGGUCUUGCUGUCACUUAUAGAUGGAUCCGCGCUGCAUUAGCUAGUUGGUAAGGUAACGGCUUACCAAGGCAACGAUGCAUAGCCGACCUGAGAGGGUGAUCGGCCACACUGGAACUGAGACACGGUCCAGACUCCUACGGGGGGCAGCAGUAGGGAAUCUUCCGCAAUGGGCGAAAGCCUGACGGAGCAACGCCGCGUGAGUGAUGAAGGUCUUCGGAUCGUAAAACUCUGUUAUUAGGGAAGAACAUAUGUGUAAGUAACUGUGCACAUCUUGACGGUACCUAAUCAGAAAGCCACGGCUAACUACGUG
Molecule: ribosomal RNA, 497 nt
Filed under: uncultured bacterium
Lineage: Bacteria
Description: partial 16S ribosomal RNA
Rfam family: Bacterial small subunit ribosomal RNA
Source: RNAcentral